This 324-nucleotide ribosomal RNA is filed under the name Triticum aestivum (bread wheat). RNAcentral describes it as "partial small subunit ribosomal RNA". The record is from RNAcentral. Lineage: Eukaryota; Viridiplantae; Streptophyta; Magnoliopsida; Poales; Poaceae.
AUGGGCUUUCCUUUGUAUUUGGAAGAAGUCAAUACAGAUGCAAUAAUAUGGCACACAAAAAAGAAGGAAGUAGCAGCUAUUUACAAGAGCCUCGCAGUGUGCAAUAUAGCUACGAGAUCCUAUUGUCUGUUGGAAUUUCACUUUAGAACGGUUGGUUUUAUUCUUCAAACAGUUAGCCUAGAAGAAGAUACACUUGUAAGGCACAUACAUAAAUACAAGUUCAAUAUGUGGUCUGAUCAAAUACAUAUAGCCUACCUGAUACUUUCGAUCAGACCAGUGUUCAACAAGGGCUAUCCAGUCUUCAUUUGUAAUAUAUUCCACUAG